UGUAUGAGAAGCUUUAUUAUUCUAACAGAUUUUGUUUACAAGCAGAAAAUAUUGGUAAAUCUCAUAUAACAUAAGGAUGUAUCAAUAGUUCCAUAUGCUAUGCUUUAAUAGAGUUCUGUAAGGUUUCUAAAGAUGACUUAAGUCAGCGUCACUGAAAAUAAAGAGUCAGAAAUAACCUAAAAAAUGAGUGAUUCCAUAGAACAAAUAUAUUCAUUUUACAGAUGGGGAACUGUGACAUGAAGAAGUUAACUUACCUAAGAUCAGAGAAUGAGUCAAGGACAGAACAGGACCAUGUCAUCAAAUUUAGAGAAACUUGAACUAUGAGUUUGAACCUGCUCUUCCCAAUUCAUGAAUUUUGUAAUGGAGAACAUUGGAUCCAGGCAAAUCCUGAUUUAAUUUCAACUUUACACCCUCAGGCAAGUUACUUCCCUUUAUUAAGACUCCAUCUUUCCAUAUGUAAAAUGAGAUUAUCUGAUGUGAUUAAGAUCUCUUCAAAAUAUUCAAAAUGUUUUACUUCCACUUUGCUAAAUUUUUAUCAAAGUAGUGUUCUCUAAUUACCCACAUCAUCAGAACUACUCAAAUAUUGUUCAUGCACUUCUUUAGAGCACUUUGGAAAAUUUCAACAGAAUUGGUUGUCUGGUAAACCCAAGGUCACAGGCAUAGAAACCAGUUUAUAGCAUUCUCUUGCAAAAUAUCUAAUGAUAUCCAUAAUGUGGAAAGCAAACAAUAAUUUUAUGUCCAAAAAUAGAAUAAACUGUUCUACCUGGCAACCUUUGCCAGGAGAACAAAUGCUUGCUUUUGAAAUUUAUCCUUCCCUACACCAUGACCAGGCUGAAUGUAUAUAUUCAUGACCUAGGCAUUUUUCCUGCCACCUCCAAAAAUUUGUUUUUUACCAUUUAUCAUUUUGUCUGGAUAAUGUGCGUGAUGAUUUCAAAACCUAGUAAAACCUAUACAUG
Molecule: long non-coding RNA, 956 nt
Filed under: Pan paniscus (pygmy chimpanzee)
Lineage: Eukaryota; Metazoa; Chordata; Mammalia; Primates; Hominidae
Description: lncRNA (ENSPPAG00000045143.1)
Source: RNAcentral